UAAGAUGGGUCCUCUCUUCGUAGGCUAAUGCAUUGGCCCUUUUUUGACCCGUUUUGGGGCGAAAACAAAAACUGACUCCCGGGCAUAUUUUUUUCGGCCUUUAUGGGCAAAGAACUUUAAUACCGCUCAAAAUGAGGCCACCCAGUAGUUAGGUGUGAAUUUUCGAGACCUCUGGCAUCGUUCUAAGAUGGGUCCUCUCUUCGUAGGCUAAUGCAUUGGCCCUUUUUUGACCCGUUUUGGGGCGAAAACAAAAACUGACUCCCGGGCAUAUUUUUUUCGGCCUUUAUGGGCAAAGAACUUUAAUACCGCUCAAAAUGAGGCCACCCAGUAGUUAGGUGUGAAUUUUCGAGACCUUUGGCAUCGUUCUAAGAUGGGUCCUCUCUUCGUAGGCUAAUGCAUUGGCCCUUUUUUGACCCGUUUUGGGGCGAAAACAAAAAACUGACUCCCGGCAUAUUUUUUUCGGCCUUUAUGGGCAAAGAACUUUAGUACCCGCUCAAAAUGAGGCCACCCAGUAGUUAGGUGUGAAUUUUCGAGACCUUUGGCAUCGUUCUAAGAUGGGUCCUCUCUUCGUAGGCUAAUGCAUUGGCCCUUUUUUGACCCCUUUUUGGGGCGAAAACAAAAACUGACUCCCGAGCAUAUUUUUUUCGGCCUUUAUGGGCAGAGAACUUUAGUACCGCUCAAAAUGAGGCCACCCAGUAGUUAGGUGUGAAUUUUCGAGACCUUUGGCAUCGUUCUAAGAUGGGUCCUCUCUUCGUAGGCUAAUGCAUUGGCCCUUUUUUGACCCGUUUUGGGGCGAAAACAAAAACUGACUCCCGGGCAUAUUUUUUUCGGCCUUUAUGGGCAAAGAACUUUAGUACCGCUCAAAAUGAGGCCACCCAGUAGUUAGGUGUGAAUUUUCGAGACCUUUGGCAUCGUUCUAAGAUGGGUCCUCUCUUCGUAGGCUAAUGCAUUGGCCCUUUUUUGACCACCGUUUUGGGGCGAAAAACAAAAACUGACUCCCGGGCAUAUUUUUUUCGGCCUUUAUGGGCAAAGAACUUUAGUACCGCUCAAAAUGAGGCCACCCAGUAGUUAGGUGUGAAUUUUCGAGACCUUUGGCACCGUUCUAAGAUGGGUCCUCUCUUCGUAGGCUAAUGCAUUGGCCCUUUUUUGACCCGUUUUGGGGCGAAAACAAAAACUGACUCCCGGGCAUAUUUUUUUCGGCCUUUAUGGGCAAAGAACUUUAAGUACCGCUCAAAAUGAGGCCACCCAGUAGUUAGGUGUGAAUUUUCGAGACCUUUGGCAUCGUUCUAAGAUGGGUCCUCUCUUCGUAGGCUAAUGCAUUGGCCCUUUUUUGACCCGUUUUGGGGCGAAAACAAAAACUGACUCCCGGGCAUAUUUUUUUCGGCCUUUAUGGGCAGAGAACUUUAGUACCGCUCAAAAUGAGGCCACCCAGUAGUUAGGUGUGAAUUUUCGAGACCUUUGGCAUCGUUCUAAGAUGGGUCCUCUCUUCGUAGGCUAAUGCAUUGGCCUUUUUUGACCCGUUUUGGGGCGAAAACAAAAACUGACUCCCGGGCAUAUUUUUUUCGGCCUUUAUGGGCAAAGAACUUUAGUACCGCUCAAAAUGAGGCCACCCAGUAGUUAGGUGUGAAUUUUCGAGACCUUUGGCACCGUUCUAAGAUGGGUCCUCUCUUCGUAGGCUAAUGCAUUGGCCCUUUUUGACCCGUUUUGGGGCGAAAACAAAAACUGACUCCCGGGCAUAUUUUUUUCGGCCUUUAUGGGCAAAGAACUUUAGUACCGCUCAAAAUGAGGCCACCCAGUAGUUAGGUGUGAAUUUUCGAGACCUUUGGCACCGUUCUAAGAUGGGUCCUCUCUUCGUAGGCUAAUGCAUUGGCCCUUUUUUGACCCGUUUUGGGGCGAAAACAAAAACUGACUCCCGGGCAUAUUUUUUUCGGCCUUUAUGGGCAAAGAACUUUAGUACCGCUCAAAAUGAGGCCACCCAGUAGUUAGGUGUGAAUUUUCGAGACCUUUGGCAUCGUUCUAAGAUGGGUCCUCUCUUCGUAGGCUAAUGCAUUGGCCCUUUUUUGACCCGUUUUGGGGCGAAAACAAAAACUGACUCCCGGGCAUAUUUUUUUCGGCCUUUAUGGGCAGAGAACUUUAGUACCGCUCAAAAUGAGGCCACCCAGUAGUUAGGUGUGAAUUUUCGAGACCUUUGGCAUCGUUCUAAGAUGGGUCCUCUCUUCGUAGGCUAAUGCAUUGGCCCUUUUUUGACCCGUUUUGGGGCGAAAACAAAAACUGACUCCCGGGCAUAUUUUUUUCGGCCUUUAUGGGCAGAGAACUUUAGUACCGCUCAAAAUGAGGCCACCCAGUAGUUAGGUGUGAAUUUUCGAGACCUUUGGCAUCGUUCUAAGAUGGGUCCUCUCUUCGUAGGCUAAUGCAUUGGCCCUUUUUUGACCCCUUUUUGGGGCGAAAACAAAAACUGACUCCCGAGCAUAUUUUUUUCGGCCUUUAUGGGCAAAGAACUUUAGUACCGCUCAAAAUGAGGCCACCCAGUAGUUAGGUGUGAAUUUUCGAGACCUUUGGCAUCGUUCUAAGAUGGGUCCUCUCUUCGUAGGCUAAUGCAUUGGCCCUUUUUUGACCCGUUUUGGGGCGAAAACAAAAACUGACUCCCGGGCAUAUUUUUUUCGGCCUUUAUGGGCAAAGAACUUUAGUACCGCUCAAAAUGAGGCCACCCAGUAGUUAGGUGUGAAUUUUCGAGACCUUUGGCAUCGUUCUAAGAUGGGUCCUCUCUUCGUAGGCUAAUGCAUUGGCCCUUUUUUGACCCGUUUUGGGGCGAAAACAAAAACUGACUCCCGGGCAUAUUUUUUUCGGCCUUUAUGGGCAAAGAACUUUAGUACCGCUCAAAAUGAGGCCACCCAGUAGUUAGGUGUGAAUUUUCGAGACCUUUGGCAUCGUUCUAAGAUGGGUCCUCUCUUCGUAGGCUAAUGCAUUGGCCCUUUUUUGACCCGUUUUGGGGCGAAAAACAAAAACUGACUCCCGGGCAUAUUUUUUUCGGCCUUUAUGGGCAAAGAACUUUAGUACCGCUCAAAAUGAGGCCACCCAGUAGUUAGGUGUGAAUUUUCGAGACCUUUUGGCAUCGUUCUAAGAUGGGUCCUCUCUUCGUAGGCUAAUGCAUUGGCCUUUUUUGACCCGUUUUGGGGCGAAAAACAAAAACUGACUCCCGGGCAUAUUUUUUUCGGCCUUUAUGGGCAAAGAACUUUAGUACCGCUCAAAAUGAGGCCACCCAGUAGUUAGGUGUGAAUUUUCGAGACCUUUGGCAUCGUUCUAAGAUGGGUCCUCUCUUCGUAGGCUAAUGCAUUGGCCCUUUUUUGACCCGUUUUGGGGCGAAAACAAAAACUGACUCCCGGGCAUAUUUUUUUCGGCCUUUAUGGGCAGAGAACUUUAGUACCGCUCAAAAUGAGGCCACCCAGUAGUUAGGUGUGAAUUUUCGAGACCUUUGGCAUCGUUCUAAGAUGGGUCCUCUCUUCGUAGGCUAAUGCAUUGGCCCUUUUUUGACCCGUUUUGGGGCGAAAACAAAAACUGACUCCCGGGCAUAUUUUUUUCGGCCUUUAUGGGCAAAGAACUUUAGUACCGCUCAAAAUGAGGCCACCCAGUAGUUAGGUGUGAAUUUUCGAGACCUUUGGCAUCGUUCUAAGAUGGGUCCUCUCUUCGUAGGCUAAUGCAUUGGCCCUUUUUGACCCGUUUUGGGGCGAAAACAAAAACUGACUCCCCCGGGCAUAUAUUUUUUCGGCCUUUAUGGGCAAAGAACUUUAGUACCGCUCAAAAUGAGGCCACCCAGUAGUUAGGUGUGAAUUUUCGAGACCUUUGGCAUCGUUCUAAGAUGGGUCCUCUCUUCGUAGGCUAAUGCAUUGGCCCUUUUUUGACCCGUUUUGGGGCGAAAACAAAAACUGACUCCCGGGCAUAUAUUUUUUCGGCCUUUAUGGGCAAAUAACUUUAGUACCGCUCAAAAUGAGGCCACCCAGUAGUUAGGUGUGAAUUUUCGAGACCUUUGGCAUCGUUCUAAGAUGGGUCCUCUCUUCGUAGGCUAAUGCAUUGGCCCAUUUUUGACCCGUUUUGGGGCGAAAACAAAAAACUGACUCCCGGGCAUAUUUUUUUCGGCCUUUAUGGGCAGAGAACUUUAGUACCGCUCAAAAUGAGGCCACCCAGUAGUUAGGUGUGAAUUUUCGAGACCUUUGGCAUCGUUCUAAGAUGGGUCCUCUCUUCGUAGGCUAAUGCAUUGGCCCUUUUUUGACCCGUUUUGGGGCGAAAACAAAAACUGACUCCCGGGCAUAUUUUUUUCGGCCUUUAUGGGCAAAGAACUUUAGUACCGCUCAAAAUGAGGCCACCCAGUAGUUAGGUGUGAAUUUUCGAGACCUUUGGCAUCGUUCUAAGAUGGGUCCUCUCUUCGUAGGCUAAUGCAUUGGCCCUUUUUUGACACGUUUUGGGGCGAAAACAAAAACUGACUCCCGGGCAUAUUUUUUUCGGCCUUUAUGGGCAAAGAACUUUAGUACCGCUCAAAAUGAGGCCACCCAGUAGUUAGGUGUGAAUUUUCGAGACCUUUGGCAUCGUUCUAAGAUGGGUCCUCUCUUCGUAGGCUAAUGCAUUGGCCCUUUUUUGACCCGUUUUGGGGCGAAAACAAAAACUGACUCCCGGGCAUAUUUUUUUCGGCCUUUAUGGGCAAAGAACUUUAGUACCGCUCAAAAUGAGGCCACCCAGUAGUUAGGUGUGAAUUUUCGAGACCUUUGGCAUCGUUCUAAGAUGGGUCCUCUCUUCGUAGGCUAAUGCAUUGGCCUUUUUUGACCCGUUUUGGGGCGAAAACAAAAACUGACUCCCGGGCAUAUUUUUUUCGGCCUUUAUGGGCAAAGAACUUUAGUACCGCUCAAAAUGAGGCCACCCAGUAGUUAGGUGUGAAUUUUCGAGACCUUUGGCAUCGUUCUAAGAUGGGUCCUCUCUUCGUAGGCUAAUGCAUUGGCCCUUUUUUGACCCGUUUUGGGGCGAAAACAAAAACUGACUCCCGGGCAUAUUUUUUUCGGCCUUUAUGGGCAAAGAACUUUAGUACCGCUCAAAAUGAGGCCACCCAGUAGUUAGGUGUGAAUUUUCGAGACCUUUGGCAUCGUUCUAAGAUGGGUCCUCUCUUCGUAGGCUAAUGCAUUGGCCCUUUUUUGACCCGUUUUGGGGCGAAAACAAAAACUGACUCCCGGGCAUAUUUUUUUCGGCCUUUAUGGGCAAAGAACUUUAGUACCGCUCAAAAUGAGGCCACCCAGUAGUUAGGUGUGAAUUUUCGAGACCUUUGGCAUCGUUCUAAGAUGGGUCCUCUCUUCGUAGGCUAAUGCAUUGGCCCUUUUUUGACCCGUUUUGGGGCGAAAACAAAAACUGACUCCCGGGCAUAUUUUUUUCGGCCUUUAUGGGCAAAGAACUUUAGUACCGCUCAAAAUGAGGCCACCCAGUAGUUAGGUGUGAAUUUUCGAGACCUUUGGCAUCGUUCUAAGAUGGGUCCUCUCUUCGUAGGCUAAUGCAUUGGCCCUUUUUUGACCCGUUUUGGGGCGAAAACAAAAACUGACUCCCGGGCAUAUUUUUUUCGGCCUUUAUGGGCAAAGAACUUUAGUACCGCUCAAAAUGAGGCCACCCAGUAGUUAGGUGUGAAUUUUCGAGACCUUUGGCAUCGUUCUAAGAUGGGUCCUCUCUUCGUAGGCUAAUGCAUUGGCCCUUUUUUGACCCGUUUUGGGGCGAAAACAAAAACUGACUCCCGGGCAUAUUUUUUUCGGCCUUUAUGGGCAAAGAACUUUAGUACCGCUCAAAAUGAGGCCACCCAGUAGUUAGGUGUGAAUUUUCGAGACCUUUGGCAUCGUUCUAAGAUGGGUCCUCUCUUCGUAGGCUAAUGCAUUGGCCCUUUUUUGACCCGUUUUGGGGCGAAAACAAAAACUGACUCCCGGGCAUAUUUUUUUCGGCCUUUAUGGGCAAAGAACUUUAGUACCGCUCAAAAUGAGGCCACCCAGUAGUUAGGUGUGAAUUUUCGAGACCUUUGGCAUCGUUCUAAGAUGGGUCCUCUCUUCGUAGGCUAAUGCAUUGGCCCUUUUUUGACCCGUUUUGGGGCGAAAACAAAAACUGACUCCCGGGCAUAUUUUUUUCGGCCUUUAUGGGCAAAGAACUUUAGUACCGCUCAAAAUGAGGCCACCCAGUAGUUAGGUGUGAAUUUUCGAGACCUUUGGCAUCGUUCUAAGAUGGGUCCUCUCUUCGUAGGCUAAUGCAUUGGCCUUUUUGACCCGUUUUGGGGCGAAAACAAAAACUGACUCCAGGGCAUAUUUUUUUCGGCCUUCAUGGGCAAAGAACUUUAGUACCGCUCAAAAUGAGGCCACCCAGUAGUUAGGUGUGAAUUUUCGAGACCUUUGGCAUCGUUCUAAGAUGGGUCCUCUCUUCGUAGGCUAAUGCAUUGGCCCUUUUUUGACCCGUUUUGGGGCGAAAACAAAAGCUGACUCCCGGGCAUAUUUUUUUCGGCCUUCAUGGGCAAAGAACUUUAGUACCGCUCAAAAUGAGGCCACCCAGUAGUUAGGUGUGAAUUUUCGAGACCUUUGGCAUCGUUCUAAGAUGGGUCCUCUCUUCGUAGGCUAAUGCAUUGGCCCUUUUUUGACCCGUUUUGGGGCGAAAACAAAAACUGACUCCCGGGCAUAUUUUUUUCGGCCUUUAUGGGCAAAGAACUUUAGUACCGCUCAAAAUGAGGCCACCCAGUAGUUAGGUGUGAAUUUUCGAGACCUUUGGCAUCGUUCUAAGAUGGGUCCUCUCUUCGUAGGCUAAUGCAUUGGCCCUUUUUUGACCCGUUUUGGGGCGAAAACAAAAACUGACUCCCGGGCAUAUUUUUUUCGGCCUUUAUGGGCAAAGAACUUUAGUACCGCUCAAAAUGAGGCCACCCAGUAGUUAGGUGUGAAUUUUCGAGACCUUUGGCAUCGUUCUAAGAUGGGUCCUCUCUUCGUAGGCUAAUGCAUUGGCCCUUUUUUGACCUGUUUUGGGGCGAAAACAAAAGCUGACUCCUGGGCAUAUUUUUUUCGGCCUUUGUGGGCAAAGAACUUCAGUACCGCUCAAAAUGAGGCCACCCAGUAGUUAGGUGUGAAUUUUCGAGACCUUUGGCAUCGUUCUAAGAUGGGUCCUCUCUUCGUAGGCUAAUGCAUUGGCCCUUUUUUUACCCGUUUUGGGGCGAAAACAAAAACUGACUCUCGGGCAUAUUU
This 7235-nucleotide long non-coding RNA is filed under the name Cucumis sativus (cucumber). Its description in RNAcentral is "long non-coding RNA (CSAT_LNC001488)". Lineage: Eukaryota; Viridiplantae; Streptophyta; Magnoliopsida; Cucurbitales; Cucurbitaceae. The record is from RNAcentral.